GCGCCCUUAGCUCAAUUGGAUAGAGCGUCUGGCUACGGACCAGAAGGUUGGGGGUUCGACUCCUCCAGGGCGUA
RNAcentral lists this transfer RNA (74 nucleotides) under Fidelibacterota bacterium. RNAcentral's name for it is "tRNA-Arg". It matches the Rfam family "tRNA". From Rfam's summary of the family: Transfer RNA (tRNA) molecules are approximately 80 nucleotides in length. Their secondary structure includes four short double-helical elements and three loops (D, anti-codon, and T loops). Further hydrogen bonds mediate the characteristic L-shaped molecular structure. tRNAs have two regions of fundamental functional importance: the anti-codon, which is responsible for specific mRNA codon recognition, and the 3' end, to which the tRNAs corresponding amino acid is attached (by aminoacyl-tRNA synthetases). tRNAs cope with the degeneracy of the genetic code in two manners: having more than one tRNA (with a specific anti-codon) for a particular amino acid; and 'wobble' base-pairing, i.e. permitting non-standard base-pairing at the 3rd anti-codon position. Lineage: Bacteria; Pseudomonadati; Fidelibacterota. RNAcentral also lists the same sequence under 1 other name. The record is from RNAcentral.